RNAcentral lists this ribosomal RNA (255 nucleotides) under uncultured bacterium. RNAcentral's name for it is "partial small subunit ribosomal RNA". It matches the Rfam family "Bacterial small subunit ribosomal RNA", at positions 26 to 285 of the family's 1533-position model. The record is from RNAcentral.
AGGACGAACGCUGGCGGCGUGCUUAACACAUGCAAGUCGAGCGGAAAGGCCCUUCGGGGUACUCGAGCGGCGAACGGGUGAGUAACACGUGAGCAACCUGCCCUUAGCUUCGGGAUAGCUCCGGGAAACCGGAAUUAAUACCGAAUAUGACUUUGGCUGACAUCAGCAGAAGUGGAAAGUUUUUCGGCUAGGGAUGGACUCGCGGCCUAUCAGCUAGUUGGUGUAGGUAACGGCCCACCAAGGCGACGACGGGUA